GGAAUCCUGUCCUGUGGUUGUGGCUGUGGAAGGACAAAGUAUGUCGGAGAAUUUCCUCAAUCAGUUUUCCAGCCUCUCUAGUUACUUUGGGACUUUCGGAAUGUAAUUUAGGUGAUAAUGCAUUUCUACAUGUUGAUUUAAGCAAGCUCAAUGCUCUGAAAGACUUGAAUUUGAGCGGAAAUCCAAUUUCGUAUCCCCCAGAGAGCAUUAUACAUCUUAG
This 220-nucleotide unclassified non-coding RNA is filed under the name Hevea brasiliensis (rubber tree). The record is from RNAcentral. Lineage: Eukaryota; Viridiplantae; Streptophyta; Magnoliopsida; Malpighiales; Euphorbiaceae.